GUGUUUGCAGGUACUCCCAUAAAUUACAACUUUGAUAGGUACUCUCGACGUUGACCAUCGAUUAUGAUCAUUCCAAAUCAGUGGCGUUAUUUGUGCGGACCUAAGUUUUCCUCAUUUUUUCUUCAAAAGAUAAAAACUUAUUUAAAAAAUUCAAAUACCUGAAAUGAUCACCGAAUAGAACUGUUCCAAAAAUACCAUUUGUUUCAUAAAUUUGGAGGAUGAAAGGAUCGCCUCACCUUUGCCAAA
This 246-nucleotide long non-coding RNA is filed under the name Trifolium pratense (red clover). RNAcentral's name for it is "long non-coding RNA (TPRA_LNC013747)". The record is from RNAcentral. Lineage: Eukaryota; Viridiplantae; Streptophyta; Magnoliopsida; Fabales; Fabaceae.